AGAAUCAACGCUGGCAGCGUGCCUAACACAUGCAAGUCGAACGAGAAAGUGGAGCAAUCCAUGAGUAAAGUGGCGCACGGGUGAGUAACACGUGACUAACCUACCUUUUAGUGGGGGAUAACCUAGGGAAACCUGGGCUAAUACCGCAUAAUACCUACGGGUCAAAGCAGCAAUGCGCUGAAAGAGGGGGUCGCGGUCGAUUAGUUAGUUGGCAGGGUAAUGGCCUACCAAGACUGUGAUCGAUAUCCGGCCUGAGAGGGCGCACGGACACACUGGAACUGAAACACGGUCCAGACUCCUACGGGAGGCAGCAGUGGGGAAUUUUGCGCAAUGGGGGAAACCCUGACGCAGCAACGCCGCGUGGAGGAUGAAGUCCCUUGGGACGUAAACUCCUUUCGAUCGGGACGAUAAUGACGGUACCGGAAGAAGAAGCCCCGGCUAACUUCGCGCCAGCAGCCGC
RNAcentral lists this ribosomal RNA (460 nucleotides) under uncultured bacterium. Its description in RNAcentral is "SSU rRNA". It matches the Rfam family "Bacterial small subunit ribosomal RNA", at positions 26 to 518 of the family's 1533-position model. The record is from RNAcentral.